CCAGACUCCUACGGGAGGCAGCAGUGGGGAAUAUUGGGCAAUGGGCGCAAGCCUGACCCAGCAACGCCGCGUGAAGGAAGAAGGCUUUCGGGUUGUAAACUUCUUUUCUCAGGGACGAAGCAAGUGACGGUACCUGAGGAAUAAGCCACGGCUAACUACGUGCCAGCAGCCGCGGUAAUACGUAGGUGGCAAGCGUUAUCCGGAUUUACUGGGUGUAAAGGGCGUGUAGGCGGGGACGCAAGUCAGAUGUGAAGACCAUGGGCUCAACCUGUGGCCUGCAUUUGAAACUGUGCUUCUUGAGUACUGGAGAGGCAGACGGAAUUCCUAGUGUAGCGGUGAAAUGCGUAGAUAUUAGGAGGAACACCAGUGGCGAAGGCGGCCUGCUGGACGACAACUGACGGUGAGGCGCGAAAGCGUGGGGAGCAAACAGGAUUAGAUACCCGCGUAAG
Molecule: ribosomal RNA, 449 nt
Filed under: uncultured bacterium
Lineage: Bacteria
Description: bacterial SSU rRNA
Rfam family: Bacterial small subunit ribosomal RNA
Source: RNAcentral